RNAcentral lists this ribosomal RNA (1402 nucleotides) under marine metagenome. RNAcentral's name for it is "bacterial LSU rRNA". It matches the Rfam family "Bacterial large subunit ribosomal RNA", at positions 515 to 1980 of the family's 2925-position model. The record is from RNAcentral.
UGAAAAGCACCCCGACGAGGGGAGUGAAACAGUUUCUGAAACCGGACGCCUACAAACAGUUGGAGCCCCUUAUGGGGUGACAGCGUACCUUUUGUAUAAUGGGUCAACGACUUGGUCUUACUAGCAAGCUUAAGCCGAUAGGUGUAGGCGCAGCGAAAGCGAGUCUUAAUAGGGCGAAUGAGUUAGUAGGAUCAGACCCGAAACCGAGUGAUCUAGGCAUGAGCAGGUUGAAGGUAAGGUAACACUUACUGGAGGACCGAACCCACAUCUGUUGAAAAAGAUCGGGAUGACUUGUGCCUAGGGGUGAAAGGCCAAUCAAACUCGGAGAUAGCUGGUUCUCCGCGAAAUCUAUUUAGGUAGAGCGUCGCACGAAUACCUUGGGGGGUAGAGCACUGAAUGGGUAAUGGGGACUCACCGUCUUACUGAUCCUAAUCAAACUCCGAAUACCCAAGAGUAAUAUGCGGCAGACACACUGCGGAUGCUAACGUCCGUAGUGGAGAGGGAAACAACCCUGACCCUCAGCUAAGGCCCCUAAUUCAUGGCUAAGUGGGAAAGCAGGUGGGACGACCAAAACAACCAGGAAGUUGGCUUAGAAGCAGCCAUCUUUUAAAGAUAGCGUAACAGCUCACUGGUCUAAUUUAAGUUAUCCUGCGGCGAAGAUGUACCGGGGCUCAAGCCAUGAGCCGAAGCUAGGGAUGCAAUUUAUUGCAUGGUAGCGGAGCGUUCUGUGAUAUAGAACGCUGCGUCUUUAGUAUCUUAGGAUAUUGUGGACGCAAUGUUCUGACUGUGAAGCCGGCGCGUAAGCGAUCCGGUGGAGUGAUCAGAAGUGAGAAUGUUGACAUGAGUAGCGACAAACAGGGUGAGAGACCCUGUCGCCGAAAGUCCAAGGGUUCCUGCUUAAAGCUAAUCUGAGCAGGGUAAGCCGACCCCUAAGGCGAGGCCGAAAGGCGUAGUCGAUGGGAACCAGUUUAAUAUUACUGGGCCAGGAGAUGGUGACGGAUCGAAAGCGUAGUGACUCCUUAUCGGAUUGAAGUUGCUGCCGGACGGUUCCUGGAAAUAGCCCUCCAUUAGAUCGUACCCUAAACCAACACAGGUGGACUGGUAGAGAAUACCAAGGCGCUUGAGAGAACUACAUUGAAGGAACUCGGCAAAAUACCUCCGUAAGUUCGCGAGAAGGAGGCCCAGUUUCUACGCAAGUAUUGGCUGGGGGCACAAACCAGGGGGUGGCGACUGUUUACUAAAAACACAGGGCUCUGCGAAGUCGCAAGACGACGUAUAGGGUCUGACGCCUGCCCGGUGCUGGAAGGUUAAGAGGAGGUGUGCAAGCACUGAAUUGAAGCCCCAGUAAACGGCGGCCGUAACUAUAACGGUCCUAAGGUAGCGAAAUUCCUUGUCGGGUAAG